ACGAUUUGACGACGCAGACCCGGAUCCCGAGGAAAAAUCCUGUGGAGAGGCGGCGGCGGCGGUGUCAGCAGCAUCAGCAGCGGCAUGCGCUGUAUGGGGAUCGUCGUAGGAGUCGGCGCAAGAAUCGUCAGCGUGGGAGUUGGCGCCGGUCGGUACGGCCGACAACGACCGCGUCUGGGGGGCCGAGGCUGGCGCAGCGUCACGUGCGGGGGACCCGCCUGUCCCCGCACCCAGCCCCGCGCCCGAGGAACCGUCAACCGUGCGCCCGCCUGGCGACGUGUUGGGCGCGCCACGUAGUGAGGCAGGCCCUGGCGCGCCGGAUCCCGAAGGAAAAACGCCGACUGCUGGCCCGCCUGGCGCCGCAGAUCCUGGAGAAAGCGCG
RNAcentral lists this long non-coding RNA (382 nucleotides) under Hordeum vulgare. RNAcentral describes it as "long non-coding RNA (HVUL_LNC014220)". Lineage: Eukaryota; Viridiplantae; Streptophyta; Magnoliopsida; Poales; Poaceae. The record is from RNAcentral.